CCUACGGGGGGCAGCAGUGGGGAAUUUUGGACAAUGGGGGCAACCCUGAUCCAGCCAUGCCGCGUGUGUGAAGAAGGCCCUCGGGUUGUAAAGCACUUUCAGUGAGGAAGAACGCCUGGUGGUUAAUACCCAUCAGGAAAGACAUCACUCACAGAAGAAGCACCGGCUAACUCCGUGCCAGCAGCCGCGGUAAUACGGAGGGUGCGAGCGUUAAUCGGAAUUACUGGGCGUAAAGCGCGCGUAGGUGGCUUGAUAAGCCGGUUGUGAAAGCCCCGGGCUCAACCUGGGAACGGCAUCCGGAACUGUCAAGCUAGAGUGCAGGAGAGGAAGGUAGAAUUCCCGGUGUAGCGGUGAAAUGCGUAGAGAUCGGGAGGAAUACCAGUGGCGAAGGCGGCCUUCUGGACUGACACUGACACUGAGGUGCGAAAGCGUGGGUAGCAAACAGGAUUAGAUACCCGUGUAGUC
RNAcentral lists this ribosomal RNA (465 nucleotides) under Vreelandella stevensii. Its description in RNAcentral is "partial 16S ribosomal RNA". It matches the Rfam family "Bacterial small subunit ribosomal RNA", at positions 338 to 795 of the family's 1533-position model. Lineage: Bacteria; Pseudomonadati; Pseudomonadota; Gammaproteobacteria; Oceanospirillales; Halomonadaceae. The record is from RNAcentral.